GACGAACGCUGGCGGCGUGCUUAAUACAUGCAAGUCGAGCGGUGAACCCGACUGAAAGCCUUCGGGCUUGACGUUGGGGGAUCAGCGGCGGAUGGGUGAGUAACGCGUGGGUACCUGCCCUAAAGUCUGGGAUAACAACUCGAAAGGGUUGCUAAUACCGGAUGUGACCGAGAGGUUAAAGGCAGUGAUGUCGCUUUAGGAUGGGCCCGCGUCCCAUUAGCUAGUUGGUGAGGUAAGGGCUCACCAAGGCUACGAUGGGUAGCCGGCCUGAGAGGGUGGACGGCCACACUGGGACUGAGACACGGCCCAGACUCCUACGGGAGGCAGCAGUAGGGAAUUUUCCGCAAUGGACGGAAGUCUGACGGAGCGACGCCGCGUGGGGGAAGAAGGGCCUUCGGGUCGUAAAGCUCUGUCCUUGGGGAGAAGGCGAAAGCUUGACGGUACCCAAGAAGAAAGCCCGGCUAACUACGUG
Molecule: ribosomal RNA, 472 nt
Filed under: uncultured bacterium
Lineage: Bacteria
Description: bacterial SSU rRNA
Rfam family: Bacterial small subunit ribosomal RNA
Source: RNAcentral